CCUACGGGAGGCUGCAGUGAGGAAUAUUGGUCAAUGGGCGCGAGCCUGAACCAGCCAAGUCGCGUGAGGGAAGACGGUCCUAUGGAUUGUAAACCUCUUUUGUCGGGGAGCAAAAGACGCCACGCGUGGCGUUCCGAGAGUACCCGAAGAAAAAGCAUCGGCUAACUCCGUGCCAGAAGCCGCGUAUUACGGAGGAUGUGAGAGUUAGCCCGGUUUAUUUGGGUAUAAGGGGGCGCAGGGGGGAGAGCAAGUCAGCGGUAAAAUUGAGAGGCUAAACCUCUUUGAGCCGUUGAAACUGGUUGUCUUGAGUGAGUGAGAAGUAUGCGGAAUGCGUGGUGUAGCGGUGAAAUGCAUAGAUAUCACGCAGAACUCCGAUUGCGAAGGCAGCAGACCGGCGCUCAACUGACGCUCAUGCACGAAAGUGUGGGUAUCGAACAGGAUUAGAUACCCCAGUAGUC
RNAcentral lists this ribosomal RNA (458 nucleotides) under uncultured bacterium. Its description in RNAcentral is "partial 16S ribosomal RNA". It matches the Rfam family "Bacterial small subunit ribosomal RNA", at positions 338 to 795 of the family's 1533-position model. The record is from RNAcentral.